GUAUGUGUCCUUUAGAAGAGAUUGAAGUGAGAGAAUUAAAAUAUGAGAACUAGGAACAAAAAAUAUUUGAAAAUAUAGAAAUUUUAUUAGGGUAACAAAUCAACAUAUGCAGAGCCAGAUCACUAAUGAACUUUUUAUUCUCUAACAAACUGCAUUUGUAAAUAAGCAUAUUUAACUGCAGAUUUGCCUUACAACAAGAAGAGGAGAAGAAUAGAAAUGUUGAUCAGUUUUAUGAAAAAAUUAAAGAACAGUUAAGGAAAAAAAGAACAAUAUUAUCAAGAAGUUGAAGCAAAACAGCAACUUGAAAUUUCUCUUUGAACACUAGAUAUUGAACUGAAGACUGUAAGAAAUAAAUUGAAUCAGGUUACCUUGCAUUGGAGCCAGCUAGCUGUUAACUGAAACCUCUACAAACUGUGAGCUAAAAUAAACUUUUUUUCUAUUUUUGAGUGUUGAGUAUUUUGUCUUGGCAAUGAGAAAAUUAGCUAAUAUCCAAAGGAAAUGAAACCCAGUAAGUCAAAAUUAUAUUUGCACUACCAUGAUUAAUGAUCUACUGUUCCUAAUAGCAAAAAAAAAAAAAAAAAAGA
Non-coding RNA from Heterocephalus glaber (naked mole-rat), 584 nucleotides. Lineage: Eukaryota; Metazoa; Chordata; Mammalia; Rodentia; Bathyergidae. The record is from RefSeq and is a predicted model, not a curated record.